This 919-nucleotide ribosomal RNA is filed under the name uncultured archaeon. Its description in RNAcentral is "bacterial SSU rRNA". It matches the Rfam family "Archaeal small subunit ribosomal RNA", at positions 1 to 922 of the family's 1478-position model. The record is from RNAcentral.
UUCCGGUUGAUCCUGCCGGAGGUCAUUGCUAUCGGGGUCCGAUUUAGCCAUGCUAGUCGUGCGAGUUCAUACUCGCGGCGUAUAGCUCAGUAACACGUGGCCAAACUACCCUACAGACGAGAACAACCUCGGGAAACUGAGGCUAACACUCGAUACGCGUUGGCUGUUUGAAGACACCGACGUUCAAACGCUCCGGCGCUGUAGGAUGUGGCUGCGGCCGAUUAGGUAGAUGGUGGGGUAACGGCCCACCAUGCCGAUAAUCGGUACGGGUUGUGAGAGCAAGAGCCCGGAGACGGAAUCUGAGACAAGAUUCCGGGCCCUACGGGGCGCAGCAGGCGCGAAACCUUUACACUGCACGCCAGUGCGAUAAGGGGACCCCGAGUGAAAGGGCAUAUCGCCCUUUCUUUUCUGAACCGUAGGGAGGUUCAGGAACAAGAGCUGGGCAAGACCGGUGCCAGCCGCCGCGGUAAUACCGGCAGCUCAAGUGAUGACCGAUUUUAUUGGGCCUAAAGCGUCCGUAGCUGGCCGCGCAAGUCUGUCGGGAAAUCCACCCGCUUAACGGGUGGGCGUCCGGCGGAAACUGUGCGGCUUGGGACAGGAAGGCUCGAGGGGUACGUUCGGGGUAGGAGUGAAAUCCCGUAAUCCUGAACGGACCGCCGAUGGCGAAAGCACCUCGAGAGGACUGAUCCGACAGUGAGGGACGAAAGCUGGGGUCUCGAACCGGAUUAGAUACCCGGGUAGUCCCAGCCGUAAACGAUGUUCGCUAGGUGUGUCACUCACUACGAGUGAGUGAUGUGCCGCAGGGAAGCCGCUAAGCGAACCGCCUGGGAAGUACGUCCGCAAGGAUGAAACUUAAAGGAAUUGGCGGGGGAGCACUACAACCGGAGGAGCCUGCGGUUUAAUUGGACUCAACGCCGGU